GUCUAUGGCCAUACCACCCUGGAUGUAGCUGAUCUUGUCUGAUCUCGGAAGCUAAGCAAGUUUGGGCCUGCUUAGUACUUGGAUGGGAGAAAAUAUAAUGUUGUAUGAU
This is a ribosomal RNA of Chlorocebus sabaeus (green monkey), 109 nucleotides long. NCBI's taxonomy places the organism in Eukaryota, Metazoa, Chordata, Mammalia, Primates, Cercopithecidae. The record is from Ensembl.